UGGUUUCAUGAACAGCUAGAGAACUUCUUGGAUGAUGAUUAUCUUGUGUUUGAUUGCCCUAAUAUAUUCUCAAAUCAUCUUUUCAUGCUUUAGUUGUUUCUUAAUAGUUGCACAGUUUCAUCUCACUCAUAUUCUUGCCACUUACAUGUAUGUGACAAAACAGACAAUCCGUCUUUUUUAUUGCUUUUGGCGUUGUGCAUUAUACAUGUCCACCAAUUAUAUACAAAUACCAUUUGUGGGUUACCUCUGGUGUGUUUAGGUGCGAGCUACAAUCAAAGUUAAGGCAUUAGUCAUCAUUUGCUUCACCUCUUCUGGAUAGGCUGCAAGGGUGUUAUGGACAAAGAAAGCUUGUACAUUAAAACAGGAGGACACAAGAAGCUGGAGUGGUUGUCUGAAGGCUUUUGAACUGCUUGAAGCAUUAGUGUAGCUUUGGUGAUUUUGUGACUGAUCAGCUCUGGAGCAGCUAGAGUGAUGUAGUUGUGGGCUUUUGAACUGCUUCAAGCUAGAGUGAUGUCGCUGUGGUGCUUUUGUGACUGAUCAUCUCUGCAGCUUUUGGAAUGAUCUAACUAGCUAUCUGUAAAUGAUCUAGUUGUGAAUGAUAUUAUAAUUGUGAUGCUUUUGUGAAUAUAUAAUUGUGGUGCUUUUGUGUUUA
Zea mays is the source of this 652-nucleotide long non-coding RNA. RefSeq lists it as uncharacterized. The record is from RefSeq and is a predicted model, not a curated record. The transcript has 3 exons. NCBI's taxonomy places the organism in Eukaryota, Viridiplantae, Streptophyta, Magnoliopsida, Poales, Poaceae.